CCUACGGGUGGCUUCAGUGAGGGAUAUUGGUCAAUGGGGGAAACCCUGAACCAGCAACGCCGCGUGAGGGAUGACGGUUUUCGGAUUGUAAACCUCUGUCCUCUGUGAAGAUAAUUACGGUAGCAGAGGAGGAAUCUCCGGCUAACUACGGGCCAGCAGCCGCGGUAAUACGUAGGGAGCAAGCGUUGUCCGGAUUGACUGGGGGUAAAGGGUGCGUAGGCGGCUCUGCAAGUCAGAAGUGAAAUCCAUGGGCUUAACCCGGGAACUGCUUUUGAAACUGUAGGGCUUGAGUAAAGUAGAGGCAGGCGGAAUUCCCGGUGUAGCGGUGAAAUGCGUAGAGAUCGGGAGGAACACCAGUGGCGAAGGCGGCCUGCUGGGCUUUAACUGACGCUGAGGCACGAAAGCGUGGGUAGCAAACAGGAUUAGAUACCCGAGUAGUC
RNAcentral lists this ribosomal RNA (440 nucleotides) under uncultured bacterium. Its description in RNAcentral is "partial 16S ribosomal RNA". It matches the Rfam family "Bacterial small subunit ribosomal RNA", at positions 338 to 795 of the family's 1533-position model. The record is from RNAcentral.